GAUGAACGCUGGCGGCGUGCCUAAUACAUGCAAGUCGAGCGAACGGACGAGAAGCUUGCUUCUCUGAUGUUAGCGGCGGACGGGUGAGUAACACGUGGAUACCCUACCUAUAAGACUGGGAUCACUUCGGGAAACCGGAGCUAAUACCGGAGAAUCUUUUGAACCGCAUGGUUCAAAAGUGAAAGACGGUCUUGCUGUCACUUAUAGAGGCAUCCGCGCUGCAUUAGCUAGUUGUUAAGGUAACGGCUUACCAAGGCAACGAGGCAUAGCCGACGUGAGAGGGUGAUCGGCCACCUGGGAACUGGAACACGGUCAAUACUACUAAGGGAGGCAGCAGUAGGGAAUCGUACGCAAUGGGCGAAAGCAUGACGGAGCAACGCCGAGCGAGUGAUGAAGGUCUUCGGAUCGUAAAACUGUGUUAUUAGGGAAGAACAUAUGUGUAAGUAAAUGUGCACAGCUUGACGGUACUUAAUCAGAAAGCCACGGCUAACUACGUG
Molecule: ribosomal RNA, 497 nt
Filed under: uncultured bacterium
Lineage: Bacteria
Description: partial 16S ribosomal RNA
Rfam family: Bacterial small subunit ribosomal RNA
Source: RNAcentral